GGACUCGCGGCCUAUCAGCUUGUUGGUGAGGUAAUGGCUCACCAAGGCGACGACGGGUAGCCGGCCUGAGAGGGUGACCGGCCACACUGGGACUGAGACACGGCCCAGACUCCUACGGGAGGCAGCAGUGGGGAAUAUUGCACAAUGGGCGCAAGCCUGAUGCAGCAACGCCGCGUGAGGGAUGACGGCCUUCGGGUUGUAAACCUCUUUUAGUAGGGAAGAAGCGAAAGUGACGGUACCUGCAGAAAAAGCACCGGCUAACUACGUGCCAGCAGCCGCGGUAAUACGUAGGGUGCAAGCGUUGUCCGGAAUUAUUGGGCGUAAAGAGCUCGUAGGCGGUUUGUCGCGUCUGCUGUGAAAUCUGGAGGCUCAACCUCCAGCCUGCAGUGGGUACGGGCAGACUAGAGUGCGGUAGGGGAGAUUGGAAUUCCUGGUGUAGCGGUGGAAUGCGCAGAUAUCAGGAGGAACACCGAUGGCGAAGGCAGAUCUCUGGGCCGUAACUGACGCUGAGGAGCGAAAGCGUGGGGAGCGAACAGGAUUAGAUACCCUGGUAGUCCACGCCGUAAACGUUGGGAACUAGAUGUGGGGGCCAUUC
RNAcentral lists this ribosomal RNA (595 nucleotides) under Microbacteriaceae bacterium. RNAcentral describes it as "bacterial SSU rRNA". It matches the Rfam family "Bacterial small subunit ribosomal RNA", at positions 227 to 834 of the family's 1533-position model. The record is from RNAcentral. Lineage: Bacteria; Bacillati; Actinomycetota; Actinomycetes; Micrococcales; Microbacteriaceae.